AGUGAUUGGGGUGAAGUCGUAACAAGGUAGCCGUAGGAGAACCUGCGGCUGGAUCACCUCCUUUCUAAGGAGA
This 73-nucleotide ribosomal RNA is filed under the name Clostridium botulinum. RNAcentral describes it as "partial 16S ribosomal RNA". The stretch from base 1 to 64 matches the Rfam family "Bacterial small subunit ribosomal RNA", at positions 1470 to 1533 of the family's 1533-position model. The record is from RNAcentral. Lineage: Bacteria; Bacillati; Bacillota; Clostridia; Eubacteriales; Clostridiaceae.